GUUCGGUCCCUAUCUGCCGUGGGCGCUGGAGAAUUGAGGGGGGCUGCUCCUAGUACGAGAGGACCGGAGUGGACGCAUCACUGGUGUUCGGGUUGUCAUGCCAAUGGCACUGCCCGGUAGCUAAAUGCGGAAAAGAUAAGUGCUGAAAGCAUCUAAGCACGAAACUUGCCCCGAGAUGAGUUCUCCCUGAGUCUUUGAGUGUCCUGAAGGAACGUUGAAGACGAUGACGUUGAUAGGUCGGGUGUGUAAGCGCAGCGAUGCGUUGAGCUAACCGAUACUAAUGAACCGUGAGGCUUAACCUUA
RNAcentral lists this ribosomal RNA (303 nucleotides) under Enterobacter sp. NFIX58. RNAcentral describes it as "bacterial LSU rRNA". It matches the Rfam family "Bacterial large subunit ribosomal RNA", at positions 2629 to 2925 of the family's 2925-position model. The record is from RNAcentral. Lineage: Bacteria; Pseudomonadati; Pseudomonadota; Gammaproteobacteria; Enterobacterales; Enterobacteriaceae.